CCUACGGGAGGCAGCAGUGAGGAAUAUUGGUCAAUGGACGAGAGUCUGAACCAGCCAAGUAGCGUGAAGGAUGACUGCCCUAUGGGUUGUAAACUUCUUUUAUAAAGGAAUAAAACGAGGCACGUGUGCCUUUUUGCAUGUACUUUAUGAAUAAGGAUCGGCUAACUCCGUGCCAGCAGCCGCGGUAAUACGGAGGAUCCGAGCGUUAUCCGGAUUUAUUGGGGUUAAAGGGAGCGUAGAUGGGUUGUUGAGGCAGUUGUGAAAGUUUGCGGCGCAACCGUAAAAUUGCAAUUGAUACUGGCAGCCUUGAGUACAGUUGAGGUAGGCGGAAUUCGUGGUGUAGCGGUGAAAUGCUUAGAUAUCACGAAGAACCCCGAGUGCGAAGGCAGCUUACUAGACUGUGACUGACAUUGAUGCUCGAAAGUGUGGGUAUCAAACAGGAUUAGAUACCCUGGUAGUC
This 460-nucleotide ribosomal RNA is filed under the name uncultured bacterium. RNAcentral describes it as "partial 16S ribosomal RNA". It matches the Rfam family "Bacterial small subunit ribosomal RNA", at positions 338 to 795 of the family's 1533-position model. The record is from RNAcentral.